This 310-nucleotide ribosomal RNA is filed under the name uncultured bacterium. RNAcentral's name for it is "bacterial SSU rRNA". It matches the Rfam family "Bacterial small subunit ribosomal RNA", at positions 28 to 334 of the family's 1533-position model. The record is from RNAcentral.
GAUGAACGCUAGCUACAGGCUUAACACAUGCAAGUCGAGGGGCAGCACAGGUAGCAAUACCGGGUGGCGACCGGCGCACGGGUGAGUAACGCGUAUGCAACUUGCCUAUCAGAGGGGGAUAACCCGGCGAAAGUCGGACUAAUACCGCAUGAAGCAGGGGCCCCGCAUGGGGAUAUUUGCUAAAGAUUCAUCGCUGAUAGAUAGGCAUGCGUUCCAUUAGGCAGUUGGCGGGGUAACGGCCCACCAAACCGACGAUGGAUAGGGGUUCUGAGAGGAAGGUCCCCCACAUUGGAACUGAGACACGGUCCAA